RNAcentral lists this ribosomal RNA (143 nucleotides) under Naegleria sp. Its description in RNAcentral is "partial 18S ribosomal RNA". It matches the Rfam family "Eukaryotic small subunit ribosomal RNA", at positions 1576 to 1720 of the family's 1831-position model. The record is from RNAcentral. Lineage: Eukaryota; Heterolobosea; Eutetramitea; Acrasida; Naegleriidae.
AUCGAGGAUUGGAACAUCCUCGUGAACGAGGAAUUCCUAGUAAGCGUGGUUCAUCAUACCACAUUGAUUACGUCCCUGCCUUUUGUACACACCGCCCGUCGCUCCUACCGAUGGGACGAAGAGAUGAACCUGGCGGACCAAAC